GAGUGGCGAACGGGUGAGUAACACGUGGGAAAUCUGCCUAAGAGUGGGGGAUAACAUUCGGAAACGGAUGCUAAUACCGCAUAUAUUUUUGAACCGCAUGGUUCUGGAAAGAAAGACGGCUUUGCUGUCGCUUUUAGAUGAUCCCGCGGCGUAUUAGUUAGUUGGUGGGGUAAAGGCCUACCAAGACCAUGAUACGUAGCCGACCUGAGAGGGUGAUCGGCCACACUGGGACUGAGACACGGCCCAGACUCCUACGGGAGGCAGCAGUAGGGAAUCUUCCACAAUGGGUGCAAACCUGAUGGAGCAAUGCCGCGUGAAUGAAGAAGGUCUUCGGAUCGUAAAGUUCUGUUAUUAGAGAAGAACAAGUCGAGGAGUAACUGUCUCGACUUUGACGGUACCUAACCAGAAAGUCACGGCUAACUACGUGCCAGCAGCCGCGGUAAUACGUAGGUGACAAGCGUUGUCCGGAAUUAUUGGGCGUAAAGGGAGCGCAGGCGGUUGGAAUAGUCUGAUGUGAAAGCCCACGGCUUAACC
Molecule: ribosomal RNA, 534 nt
Filed under: uncultured bacterium
Lineage: Bacteria
Description: bacterial SSU rRNA
Rfam family: Bacterial small subunit ribosomal RNA
Source: RNAcentral